This 109-nucleotide ribosomal RNA is filed under the name Pteropus alecto (black flying fox). The record is from RNAcentral. Lineage: Eukaryota; Metazoa; Chordata; Mammalia; Chiroptera; Pteropodidae.
UUCUAUGGCCAUGCUACCCUGAACAAGCCUGAUCCCGUCUGAUCUCAGAAGCUAAGCAGUGUUGGGCCUUGGAUGGGAGACCACCUAGGAAGACCAGGUACAGUAGACA